Long non-coding RNA from Ornithorhynchus anatinus (platypus), 921 nucleotides. RefSeq lists it as uncharacterized. The transcript is spliced from 2 exons. The record is from RefSeq and is a predicted model, not a curated record. Lineage: Eukaryota; Metazoa; Chordata; Mammalia; Monotremata; Ornithorhynchidae.
AUGCGUCGGAGCCCCCGCCCGCCCUCCGGCCCUUUUCCGCGCUCCUUCCCGGCCGGUCUGCAGGCUUCCGCAGACCGGGCCCGGGCCGCCCCCCGCUUUAUUAUUAGCUGCUCGCACACAGGGUUGCUUCGCCCCUCUGCUUCCAUCCCGGGAUUGUUCUGUAAUCCGAAGCGGCCGCGGCAGCGAGAGGAGGCAAGGGGGAGCAUGCACCGGCCGCGUGGCUUUGCAGCCGGAGCCUGGCCGGCUCCUGCUGCUCGGUCGGCUGCCAGUUGCUUGGGGUUUUUUUUUUUUCCCUUCUCCCCCCUCCCCCUCUUGCAGGCGGUGUGUUUCCAAAUCCCGAGCAGCUGCCGCUGCGGGAGAAGUGGGAGGGAAGGGAGGUCUCCCCGGGGUGGGGGGGUCUGCAGGAACCGACCAGCGAGCACGUGGGAUCGGUAGCCUCGGAUCGCAUUUUGGCCGGCUGACGGCCGCUCACCCAGUUCCUAGAGUCGGACUUUUUACAUGGCGAGAAGGAAUCGGGCUACCUUAGCAUCGGCCACCCGCUCCCACUGGGGUCUCUCUGCAUCUCAAAGAACAAAAGCCCCCCUGCACCCCCAAAACCUUGACAACCGCCCCUCCGACCACCCAUAGGUCAGUGAAUUGCCCCCACAGGGCGCUCAGUGAAGGCGAUUUCCACAGGGCCCGGGUCGGUGCAUUUUGAUCCCGAUUUCCCUCAUCAGAGCUGGAUCCCCUCCCCUGUGUCACCCCUUGCAUUUCUCCCUCCUUGCCUCCUCCCCUUCGGUUUUCAACAUGUCCACCGAGGCACAGUCUAAUCCCGCAAAUUCUGGGAGGGGUUUCCUGGCUGUUUUAAAACACUUGGCUCGCUCUCCACAAGACCGACAGGGCCGCCAGAUGAGGGAAAAAUAAAAGGAAAGAAAUAUAAAA